GUCAGAGUGAACUCUUUGGUACUUGUGUAACUGAUUAAGCACUUAAAGGAAACUGGGUAUUUACUUAAUGGUAUGACUCAUUUGAAUGGAACAGACUUAAACAAAAAACCCCACAAUGAUUAGGUUUUCCACUUAUUGUUGUUGUGGGUUCAUGUAACACUAACGACACUGGAAUCCAAAAAUAUGGAAACCGCCAACAGAAUGUGCCUAUGUAAGGACAAAAGAGGGAUAGGUUGUAUCAUUUAAACGGCUCAAGAGGAGACGCUAACUCGGGCCACUGUGUCGUGCGUGCCUUCAGAUUACAGCUGGCGGUGAGUAGGUGUUGGGUGUUAGGAAAGGAUGACAAGAGGAAGAAGAAUAGAAAAAAUAAAGGGGCUGGAGAGAUGGAGGUCGCAGGUGAAUUAGACCAAGCUUGAGGUCUGAUGGAGAUCAUGGGUGGAUAAGCGACCUUUUGGUGUCACCACUGUAAUGGCCCAAGCCAGCAGAUGAUAGAGCCUCCACUGGAGGGCAGUUCUGAUUCCAGAGCUCACGUCUUCACUACCACCCCGUCGCACUUCUGUGAGUGGUCCGAAGUGGCGACUAACUGGCGGUUUGAUUUUCCUUGAGCCCGACCUCCUCCCUGAGGAGGGAGUAUGUCAACCCGUACUUCUGUGACUCUCUGGGAUCACCGUCACUGUUUUCCACAGGCAAAACUAAGACACGGAAGUCCCAAAGGUAGAUCUCUCUUCCUUGCUUUUCCUGAAGAGCAGAGACUUCCAGCAAGGAAGAUGAACUUGGACUGGAUCUCUUUACACUUUCCCAAAUUGUUCUGGAAACCUGUCUCAUAGCGUUAGGGCAACUCUCCUAUAGCUCAGCAGGCUCCCGGGCUGUGACCGGCUCUAUUUAAUCAGGAUUUUCCUUCUCCCCUGGAAGGGCCCAUGGAGCUUUUGCCGGCCGCUCGCAGACAGCACUAAUCAUACAACCUUCCUGGCUUCCCCCCACGGGGUCCGAUGGCACUCUGACGGUUUCUCCUCACUGUGGUGACAGCAGGCAAGGAGAUUUUGCAAACAAAGCCUUCUGAAAUCUGAAGCGAAUGUAAAAGAUACCAAUUCGUAAAAGCCUGUUCUCAGACUCGGACAAGAAGCGGGAUUAGUUUUCAGUAAGCUCCAAGGGAAACGCAAGGCCAGCCCCAUCUCUAAGAAGGGAAUCACUCAAUGGUCCCUGGGUCAUAAAACAUUUAUUGAGCACCUUCUGUGUGUCAAACACCAUAUUAAGCUCUGAGAAUUGAUGACAUGCACGGCCCGGAACUCAGAGCUUACCGUCCUCUACUGUGUAAUGAGACCAGUACUAUAUAUUCUUUAUAGUGGGCACAAAUCUGUGAGUUUGUUCAUUUGUCUGUUUUUAUACUUUCCAAACAUCUUGAGCGCUUACUGUGUCAGAUGCUGGGGCUAUGGUGUGCAAAAGGGCUGUUUCUGCCCUUAGCUCUACUGUCUAGGGUGAGAACAGCCUGGACACAAACAACCACAAAGUGGUGUACCACCACGGGCUGUUGCCGAGUGGGAUAGCUAACUUUAUGUGUGAACCUGACUGAGCCAGAGGGUGCCCAGAUAUUCGGUUGAAUAUUAUUUCAGGGUGUGUCUGGGAGCAUGUUUCUGGAUGGGUUAACAUUCGAAUCCGUAGAGUAAGUGAAGCAGAUGGCCCUGCCCAGUGUGGGUGAGCCUCGUCCCACCAAGGGCUUGAAAAGAAUAAAAAGCCGACUAAGAAUUCUCUCUCUGCCUCUUUGAUCUGGGACACCAGUCUUCCUCGCCUUCGGACUUGGACUCAGACUGAAACUUGCACCACCCAGGGUCCUGGUUCUGGGGCCCUUGGCCUUGAACUGGCACUCUAUCACGGGGCUGUGCCGAGUCUCCAGCUCACUGGCUGUGGAUCAUGAGUUCUUAGGCCCCCAAAUCUCAUGAGCCAACUCCUUACAGUAAAUCUGUCUACCUGCCUACCUCUCUGACCUGUUCAUUCUGCUUCUCUGGAGAGCCGACUAUACACGAAGCCACCACAAUGGGAGCCCAGUGGGGAGCUAUUGGAAUGUCUUUUGUAUUGAACACACUGCCUUGCAGGUUCUUUCUGCUUCUCAAGCCUGGGGCAAUGAGGACUGAUUCAGACUGCAGAGGGGACUGGGCUACACCCCUCUCCUCUCUUCCUGGGCCCUUCCUGGGGGCCCUUUCCCCUCUCCCUCCCCCUUCUCUCUCUCUUUGAUUCCUCUUCCUUUCUCUAGUUCUUGCCUCCCCCGCUGCUCCUGGCUCUCAUCAUCCCUAUGUUCUUCUCUUUCCCUUGAAACACUUGUUAUCAGGGAUGGACCAGAUGGACAUAUCUCACAUGAAGAUGUGAAUAAUUACUAAGGACUUGGUGAUUUUUUCUCCAGCAAGGAAACAAAGCUUUAGCUAGAGCUGGUGCUCCAUGGGAGGAGAUGCAGGUGUGGGCCAAGGAGUGGGUGGCAGGAGGCAGCUUCCUGGCCACGAAGCCUUCCUUCAGAUUUCCUAUGGGUCUGCAUGGAUCUUCAACACCUCUCUUGGGACUUUGACUGCACUUCUGGUUUCAGUCACGGUGGGAUAGUCCAGGCCUGGAAUCUGCCCACGUCCACAGCCAGGUCCUCUGGGGUCACACACACGUACCACGAAGGCCACCAGGUCAGCAGUGGCAGCUGUCUUCUUCCCACUUCUCGCCUAAAGGCCACAUGAGAAAAUGCACAUGACCACCUGGGAGCGCUGUUACUCCACACUUUCUCUAUAAAAACUGCUGUCCGCCACAGAGGAUGUCCAGGCUUCCUUUGUUUUUGAGGCUCAACCAAGGGAUGCCUCUGGGAGAGAGGGGCAGUACAGACUCCCAGAUCCAGGUUAAUGUGGAAAAGCAGAGGUAGGAAAACUUCACACGUUCUGAAAAUGCCUUGAUGUGUAACAAUUUGGAGACUGUAAGAGGGCACUAGUUUUCAGUGCGCAGCACAGAACAAUGAUGAAGAGCACGGGCUCUGCUGUUCAAACAGAAUCAGGGUUUGAGCCCUGGUGCCACAUCCACCAGCUGUGUGACUUUGUCCAGUGACUAAGUUUCUCUGGGACUUGGUUUUGCCAUCUGCCUCAUAAGGCAUUCGUGAGGAGGCACAUAACACCUCUUGGCACCAUACCAGGUACGUAGAGCUUUACAAAAAAGCUCUUAUCAUUAGAUACUAUUUGCAAAAUGUAAAAAAGAGAUCAAGAAGACAUCGGCUGCUUGCAAGCCAAAUGAAAUGUGGCUGGGGUCCAAGGCUGUAUAAUGGGAUGAAAAAGCUAGGGUUAUUUAGACCGCCGAUUGGCCAGGUCAGCCAAGUAAAGAAAAUGCCACCGGAAAGGGUCACUUAAUUUCUCCCUCCUUCUCCUAUCUAAAAAUGGUGCGCUGGUGCUGCAUUCAUAGGCUCACCUGGCCAAAAACCAGAUUCUUUCAAUAUCGUUCUCAUCUCCUUUUGCUUAUUCAGACUACUGUUCACCACAGCUCAGAAGAGCAUAGCGAUGGCCAAAAUAUAAUGAGGGGUUUGGGAACUUGAGAGGAAAGGAAUGAUUACCAGUUAGCACAUUAUUAUACACACCAUGCGGACUUCAUGGUUGAUGCAGCGAGGAACUUGGUAUGUGUGGUAAUUAUGCACACUUGAGCUGAAUUUUAGAAAAACAUACAAAAGAAACGUUAUUUCCUCUUUUAAAAGAAGGCUGUGAUGGUAAGAAGCAUUCCACAAGCAACUAUUAUGCAAAGCUAUUUCAAGGGUGAAAUGAAUGAAUUUGUCAAUGAAUUUUAACUACUGAAGAAAAGGAAAUCUAAUUGGGGGCUAAGGUAGUUUCAGGAAUGACAGCUUAUGAGUUCUGCACUGACAGGUGCUGGUGGAAAAGCUGAUUGGUCCCAUUCAGGAAUAUAAUAGGCUACAUUUGUAUAGCACGGCAUAGGGUACCAAGUACUUUCACAUAAAUUCUUUCAUUCGAAGUUCCCAACCACCCUUUGAGAUAUGAAUAGGACAAAGAGUAUUAUUACGGUUAUUUAAAAAAGUUUUAUUGAGAUAUCAUUCAUGUACCAAUCACCCAUUUAAGGUAUACAACUCGAGGGUUUUAAGCAUAUAUGCAGAUAUAUACAGUCACCACCACAACUGAUUUUAGAACACUUUCAUUCUGUCUAAGAGAAACCUUCUAUUCCCAAGCUGUCACUCCCUCUAUUUCUCUGCCUGAGCAACCAGUAAUCUUUCUGUCUCCACUGAUUUGCCUAUUCUGGAAUUUCACAUACAUGCAGUCAUACAAUAAGUGGUCUUUGGUGACUGGCUUCUUUCCCUUUGUAUAAUGUUUUCAAGGUUCCUUCAUGUUGUAGCAUGUAUCAAUACUCCAUUCUUUUUUAUGGCUCAAUAAUACUCCAUUGUGUGGAGCUAACACAUUUUGUUUAUCCACUCAUCACUUGGUGUACAUUGGGGUUGUUCCUACCCUUCAGUUAUUUUGAAUAAUGCUGCAACAAGCGUUCUUGUUGGACAUAGGCAUUCAUUUCUCUUAGGUAUAUACCUAGGAGGGUAACUGCUGGGUCAUAUGGUAACUGAAUGUUGACAUGUUAAGGAACUGCCGGACUGUUUUCCAAAGUGGCUGCAUUUUACAUUCCCAGUAGCAAUGUAUGAGGGUUCUGAUUCUCCACAUCCUUGCCAAUAUUUUUAUUAUCCGACUUUUUAAUUCUCCUCAUUCUAAUGGGUAUGAAGUGGUAUCUCCUGGUGAUGUUGAUUUGCAUCAGAGAUGUUGAUCCCUGAUAACUAAUGAUGUUUCAUAUGUUUAUUGGUCACCAGUGUAACUUCUCUGGAGAGAUGCUUCUUCAGAUUCUUUCACCAUGUUAAAAUUGGGUUGUCUUUUUUUAUUAUUGAGUUAUGAGAGUUCUUUAUAUAUUCUAAAUGUAAUACCUUAUCAGAUAUAUGAUUUGUAUAUAUUUUCUCUCGUUUGGUGAACUGUCUUUUAACUUUCUUGGAUGGUAUCCUUUGAAACACAUAGUUUUCAAUUUUGAGGAAGUCCAAUUCAUCUCUUUUUUUUUCUUUUGUUGCUUGUGCUUUUGGGGUCAUAUCUAAGAAUCCAUUGCCAAAUUCAAGGUCAUGAAGAUUUGUUCCUGUUUUCUUCUAAGAACUUUUAUGUUUUUCCUCUUCAUUUAGAUAUCUGACCCGUUUUGAGUUCAUUUUUUAAAUUAAUUAAUUUAUUUUUAAAAGAUUUUAUUUGUUUAUUUGAGAGAGAGAGAGCAUGAGAGGGGGGAGUGGCAGAGGGAGAAGCAGGCUCCCCACUGAGCAGGAGCCCAGACGUGGGGCUCAAUCCCAGGACCCUGAGAUCAUGACCUGAGCCGAAGGCAGAUGCUUAACCAACUGAGUCACCUAGGUGCCCCUCGAGUCAAUUUUUGUAUAUGGUGUGAGGGAAGAGUCUGACUUUAUUCUUUUGAGGUGGGUAUCCAGUUGUCCCAGCAGCAUUUGUUGAGAAAACUAUCCUUUCCCCUCAUUAUAUAUUCUUUCACACCCUAGCUGAAAAUCGGUUGACUAUAAAAACAUAGAUUUAUUUCUGGACUCUCAGUUCUAUUCUAUUGAUCUAUAUGUCUAUCCUUAUGUCAGUACCACGCUAUUUUAAUUAUUGUUGCUUUUGAAGUUUGCAAUUGGGAAGUGUCAGUCCUUCAACUUUCUCUUUUUCAGUAUUUUGGAUACUGGGGGAUCUUGUAAUUCCAUAUGAAUUUUAGAAUCAGUUCGUCAAUUUCUACAAAGAAGUCAGCUGAGAUUCUAAUAGAUUUUGCAUUGAAUCUGUAGAUCAAUUUGGGAAGUAUCACCAUUUUAAUACUAUUAAGUCUUCUAAUCAAUGAACAUGAGAGAUUUUUCCAUUUAUUUAGCUCUUAAUUUCAACAAUGUUUUGUCAUUUUCAGAGCAUUAGCUUUGCACUUCUAUUAAAUUUAUUCCUAAAUAUUUUAUUCUUUCUGAUGUUAUUGUAAGUGGAAUUGUUUUUCUUAAUUUCACUUUCAGAUUGUUCAUUGCAAGUAUAUAGAAAUGCAAUUGAUUUUUUGAUAUUGGUCUUGUAUCCUAAAACCUUGUGAACUCUUUUUAUUAGGUUUAAUUAUUUUUUAGUGGAUUCCUCAGGAUUUUAUAUAUAGAAGAUCAUGUUAGGUGUCAACAGGGGUAGUUUUACUUCUUCCUUUUUCAAGCUGGCUGCCUAAAGUUUAGCCUAAUCUACCAAUCUUUUCCUAAUUGCUUUUCAUUACAACCUCCACUGUUUUUGAGAGCACCUUUAGACUUGAACUUCUUUACACUACAGUUGCAAAUGAAGUCAAUUCUUGGGUGAGGAAUUUGAAGCUCUUUGUUCUGUAGCCUGCUUCUCCCCCAGGGGCAAAAUCUGAGGCUUGGUUCUGUAGCUGGGGGCAGGGAAAAUGGUGAGCUCUUCCUAAAGUGAUGUCUUUGUUUUAGCUGGUGAAUGUUAGUUGAAGGGGAGACUGUAGCCUCAGGUCCUUUUGGCUUGCCUCUUCUGGCUAGAACCCCCAUCCCAUGAGCUAGGGGAAGGGUGUUCAGGGCCCCAUAUUCUUCUUGGUGCAGUGAUCAAAGUGUCUCAAAGAGCCUCUGUCCCAUACAAGUGAGGCUGGGUGGAAGAGGGGAGCCCCACUUUUCAGACACACUUGCCCAGAAUUUAGUCUCAGCAACAGGUGGCUGGGGGCAGAAUGAACAAUGGAGAUGUCUCUCUCACCUGUGGGGAGAGAGGGCUCUGUGUUCUCAGCUCUCAGUCUGGAGUGGAGGUCUCUCUCACCGAGCUGAGAGGGAAGAAAGAAGGGUGCAAAUACCACAGGUUCUCACUGAUCUCAACAAGUUCAGAAGAUUUUCUUGACUGUUUCUUCACUUGAUGAAUGCGCAUACAACCAAUUCCAGAGGCUCUAAAUGUUUCUUUAAAAAAAUAAUCUGUGUCAACUGUACUUCAAAAAAAAAAAAAUCGAGUGUACAGAUUGGGAACUGUAGUUAAUAAUACUGUAUUGUAUACUUGAUACUGGCUAAAAGGGCUGACCUUGAGUAUUUCACUAAAAAAUAUUAUUUAUGUAAAAGUAAUUGAUUACUUAACUAACUUAACUUGAUUGUGGGAAUCAUUUCAUUAUGUAUAUGUAUAUCCAAUUACCAUGCUGUACAGUGCAAAUACACUACAAUUUUGGCACUAUACCUGAAUAAACCUGGAAAAAAUGACUCAUCAAAAAAAAUGUCCAUCAGUGUUGCUGGAGAGUCAGUCCACAGAUCUCUUCCUGUGAUCAUGCUGGAAGUGGAACUCUUAGUAUUGUUAUUUACUAGAUGAGAACAAUGUUCAUAUAGAGCCUGGGGUGGUGGGGCCCAGAGUGGGAAGGAAAUCCCCUGGGAAUCAGAACAGCACAAAUACCUAAUCAUAGAACUGCAGGGUGGUAAAGGACAUUAGAUGUUAUCUAGAUCAGAUUUUACCCCCUACAGCAAUCUCCACAACCACUCUUGCUUGUGGUCCUUGAGUCUCUGCUUGAACACCUCCAGGAAUGGAGAACUAACCGGAUGAGUUCAGACUGAAUAUUAUCCCCAUGAACAACAUAACCAUGUAAAACCAAACACAGCUUUUGCCUAGCGGGAUCGGCUGUGUGUACAAACAAAAGGGGAAACAGAGAAAAUAGGUUCUGUGGAAUCCUAAACAACUUUAUGUCACCAGCAGGUCAUGAGCAUGCUGUAAAAAGGCACUUAGCUGUUUUUGAACACCAGGUGCCCCAGAGAUUGCUCUAAUUUUAGAAUUAACAUAGUGCUUACUAAAGAGGUCCAGGACUCAUGGGUCUGGAAUGUGAUGUUCUCUUACCCGCUGGCACUGCAGACUCAUGUCCUACUGUUGAUUCUGCUCCAAUCAUUUUCUGAUAUUCAGAGAGGGAGAACCAGAUCAUGGAACUGGCAUGUGCCUAAGGAGUUCGCCAAGAAAUAUGAUUUAAAGGCCAACCUUGAGAGACAGAGUUGGCGACAGCCACUCCCCGGAGGGCUAAGAGCUCAUUUUCAUAGUGGCAUUGUGAUUAUCCUCUACCCCCUCCAGCUCCUUUCUCUGCCCUUCUCUGCCAGCUCCAUGGCUCAGGAGGUUCCCCUCUGAAGAAGGCAUUGCCUGGGCUCCCCCACUAGCCAUCUGGCCAUUGUGUUCAGUCAGUGGGGAGCACCAGCAGAUCAGAGAGUGGGAAGAGAGAGGCUGAGGUAUAUUUCCCUGUUCUGGAAUCUGGUCUCGGCCUGGAGCUGUGGUCCUUUCUCUGUAUCAGAUGCAGUAGCAUGAUUUCCUGUCCUUGUCCUGCUGGGCCUAGGGGUGCGGCUGACAGCUGGUUUUGGGGUAUCACCACCCUUGUUUGUACCCUCAACAUGCAUAUCUUUGACACAGACCAUCAUUAAAAUCUCUUUAUUUGAUCUAAAGCGGGGGCGGGGGGGGUGAAUUCUAUUUCCUAUCAGAUAAACUCCUUGUUACCAUCCUUCCAUGAUAACAAUGUUCCUUCAGUCUCUCCCAAUUAUAAUCAAGCCUAGAAAGGAAGCAAGCCCCAUGUUGCUGUCCUAGCAUUAACUCUAGGGGACCUCAUAUGCUCACAUGGGUCCCACGUAAACAAAACAGAUGAUUUUGUUCAUAUCCUGCCCUGGAAUUUGAUGCCUCUGUUGGAUCCAUGAAUCUGUUUAUUCCACAAGCUCUUUCCAGAGGCAGAAGAGGUAACAUUUCUACAUAGCUUGACUGUUGCUUAGAAUCAGAACUUGUUUGUUUCCUGAACCUUUUCUGCCUCAAUAUGAAAUAUGUAGUCUUUGUACCCUUGAGGGAUAGUGGGGAAUUUCAACACAUAGCACAUGGUUUCCUAAUUUAAUUUGAAGCUGUUAUCCUCUGAGUUCUGUCCCAAAGUCCUUCCUAGCUAAUCAAUAAGUUUCCUUGUCCAUGAGCAGGAACUUAAAAAAUUAUUUUUAAAGUUUAACUGUAGGAAAAAGCAAGCUACCUUCUUAGGUUUUUGUUAAUUCACUCAAGCUCUUUCUUUGUAUUCAUAGCCAGAUGACUAAACUUUCUAUUUAUAAAUAGAGGGGGCUUCCCAAGACCUAGAGACCAAUCAUUACUUGUAGGCAUUCAUGUCACAAGCCAGUCCAAGCUAUAUUUUACCAAGAGGUUAGCUGGCAUACUGGUUUGAAUCUUUUAUUUAUUUAUAGUGACAGUAACAUAUUUGGCUCUUACACAUUCUCCUUAAAGCCUGAUAACCCCAGUUAUCUUGUGCUAUAAGUGACCAGCUUUCACUGAGUUAGAAAUGAGUGUUUGGAGGGGGAAGGGAGUUGGGGAAAAUUCCGACUUACCAACAGUUCCCUAAUGCAAGUAUGUCUUCGGAACAGCCGUGUCGGCUACCAAGGAAACCUGUGAAUUCAUCUUGGAAGCUGUCAGGCUAGCUUAGAGGCAUCAAUGAUGAAAAUCUUGAGUUAUUUCUGGAGUGGUGAUUGAUGUUUCAAAUAGAAGAUGACAUUUUGAUGGGAUCCUGACUUGCUGUGAUAGGAGUUAAUGAGGAUAAUGAUGAUAAUGAUAUUUACAUUAUACCUUUCUUCCAAAGAAGUCUUCAGUCCUUUCAUCUCAUUCGUGUUGAAAAGGUCCCUUUGGAGUUGGGAGGGAAAGGUGUUAUUAAUUUGUUUUUCAGGAGAGAGAGAGAGAGAGGAAGAGAAAAAAAAAAUAUAUAUAUAUAUAGAGAAAGAGAGAGAGAGAGAGAGAGAUAAUUGCCCAGCUUUCAGGCUCCAUUUUGGAGAUAAGAAGAGAUGUUUAAAUGACAAAGUAAACUAGGGGAAAUUAAACUUAGAGAAACGCCAGUCUCAGUUCCCAUCAUCCUAUACAAUGCUGCCAUAUCAAGCUCCAGUAAUUUCACUCCCUGACCCCAAAGUCUUCAGGAGAUCCUCACAGACUGCCAAAUUCAGUCCUAAUAUCCUAUCUUAGCAGGCCAGACUGUUGACAUCCCAACCUACAUCAUCUCGCUGUGCUCUUAUAUUUCCCCAUGUGUCAGCCAAACAAACCCACUUGCUUGCCCGUCAUCUGCUCUGAGCACCCCAUUCUCUUUCCAAAUGUUCACUGCACAUGCCAUAGCUUGUUUAAUGUCUAUCUUCCUCUGUGGAUGUAAAUUCCAGGAAAGCAGGUCCUGUCACCAUUGUACCCCCAGAGUCUAGUAGCGUUAACUGGUCCAUGAUGGACACUUCUGAAGUGUUCGCUAUGCUCUACCACCUUCAUGCCUGUGCUCAUGCUGUUUCCUCCGCCUCAAAGGCCUGACCUCCUAUCUUGGCCUACUGAAGCCAGGGCAGUUCUUCCAAGGCGAUCAAGCCCAGGUUCCUCCAUCAGGUUUCCCCUUCUUGGGAACCACCACAGUGCUGUUCUUUUAAGUUCUUACCUUACCUUCUCUUGUGUUGUAAUCAUUUGUAAUCUUGUGUAGUCUUCCUUCCAAGCCCCUCCCAGACUGCCAGCUCUGGAAAGACAGGAGCAGUACCCUAGAGCCUGUUAAACAUGUGCUCACCCGUCUAAAACUAUUGUUGACCAGCAUUAUUCAUUCAGCAAAAGUCCCAUUUCCAGAAUCUGCAGUUUGUCACGAGAGGGGAUUUUUCUCCUUCUUACCUUCCGCCAUCCUUCUGGAAGGCUGGGAGAAAGAUCAGUCACGGAAACCCUGCCAACUCUUCCUUCAAAAAGUGUCUCCAUUCUCUUCUGUGAGGAGUAAAUACUCUGGCACUUAGGUGGAGGGUUCCAUUGCCUAAGGGGGCCCAGGGCAGGUGUGCAGGGGUGGUAGUUGGCUUUUUUUUUUUUUUUUUUUUAGCUUCUGUGCCCCUUUCAGUGCUGGCUUGAAUAAGGGAGAACUAAUUAAUGCAACAUCAACUGAGAAGGUAUGAAUAGAUCAACGACCUCUUUAAGGAAUUUUAAUAGUAGUGCUUCUAGUGAGCAUUUGCACGUACCAUUCAGUUUCCAUAAGAAGACACCAGAUUGAACUAACUCUGGGUAUGUGUGAAGCCUCAUAAUCAGCACAUUUUUGACAGUUUGAAGACCCCAGGCUACUAGCAACAUGGGCAUACUGAACAUCUGUGAUCUAACACUCCAUAUAAAUUAGAAAGAGCUACUUCGACAACUGUAUCAUGGAAUAUUCAGGGUUGUUAAAAUUGAUGAUGUAGAUCUCUAUUUAUUGACAUGGAGAGAUGCCUGCAAUCUAUUGCUAAGUAAAGGAAGCAAGCUAUAGAACAGCAUGAUGAUGUAAAAUUAUUCCACAUUUAUAUCUGUAUCUACUCAUAGAUGGGUGGAUAGUCUUCAAAAUGUUAACAAUGGCAUCUCUGUGAUGAAAUUUGGGGUAAUUUUUUUUCUUUACUUUUGUUUUUACAGUUGCUUCUGUAUUAUUUGAAUUUUAUUUUUAUGGUGAGCAAUUAUUUUUACAAUCAGAAAAGGAAAACAAUAAAGCUGCUUUCAGCUAGAAAAAAAUGGUUGGAAAUAAAAAAAGACUCAUUAAAAAAAUCUUCAAAUGUCCUAACAGAUGCUUACUGUAAAACAAACAAACAAAAACCACAACCAAACUCUUGCAUGAAUGAGAGAAAACCUGUUCCACUGCUUCCACGACUGAGCCAUAUAAUGUGCUGACCACAGUUAGGAGCAAAAGGGAAAAAAGAAGCCUCCAAGGAGGAGCACAGGUGAAAUCAAGACCUCUUGACCUCGCAUGGGUGUCAUGCACGCUUUUUAAGUGCUUGCAGUAUGAAGCAUCACUUCAGGUAUCAUUUUAAUCCAAGCUUUUGAUGGCAGUUGAUUUACAGGCACAGUAUUUCUAAUUAUGGGACAACAGAGAAAACUUCCCAUCUCUGACAGCAAAGCAAUGGUGACUGCAUUUCCUACAGCAGUUUCUGUUGCAAAAAAAGAGACAUGUGCUGUUGGUCAUAGUAUAAUUCACACUUUAUUCCAUCAUGAUUGGUAUACUUGUAGCAUCAGGACAGCAAGAGAUUAAAAUCAGUGCAGAACUUCUCUGGACUAGAGGGUCAUGAAAGGCAAGACUGGUUUUGGUACACAGAGUGGAUAAUCGUACAUUAGCUGCAGUGUGAUGAUCAGUAAAACAAAAUGCACAAGUCUAACACCAUGUUGAGACCAAGGCUAAAUUCUGUAGAAUGUUAAAGAGUAAAUAAUUAUGAAUUUUAACAUGCAACUCUAUAUAAGUCACAUUAUUCAUCUAUAGACUAUUUCCCCUUUAGAGAUGAAGAGAUAGCCUUAGUAAUCUGUUCACAGUAGCUUAAAGAGCAAUCAAUACACAUUAUAGAUCUGCCUGCUGAUUUCUAUAGCAAUCCAUUAUAGUUGAAGAGAUAAUGCUAAAUAAUGUACUUUCUCUAUAUUGCCCCUGUUAGAUUGAAUCUUACUACCCCAGUAAUUCAGACUCAACUUUUCCUUACUUUAAUACCAUUCCUAAUGCCUUUAUAAUGUCAAAGAGCAGCUUGUGUUAGUUUAUUUAUCCUUAUAAAUCAUAAUGGACUCGAGGGGAACCUAUGUAACGGGUCAUCGUUCCUCUGCAAAGAUAACGUUAUGCUGAUGAGAACAUCAAAAAAUACUACUACUAUGCUGCAGAUAUUUUGGCUUUUCACACUGUCAUAUCACAGGGAGUACAAAGAAGACAGUCUUAGUGACAUAGCAGACAAAACAAUUCUGUGGAAGAGGCACAUAGAUACUAAGUGAUUUCUUGAGACAGAGGAGCAAAGAGGGACAGAAGCAAAGGAAAGAAAAAGUGAAAGAGAGCCUUCUACAGGACAAAUUGUUCAAAAGAAAAAUCAAUUCACUUGCAAUUGACUAAAUAUAGUUCUUCAAUUUGGGAUGAUAGAAGUAAAUAUAUUGAAAAUUAUACGCCACUUAGCUUUAAUAGUAAUCCUAAGGUGGCUGACUGCGUUAACUUUCCCGAGGUUGUUUUUGAGAUGUUGGACUCUCCCAGGGAGAAGUUCUGCUUUUGCCAGCACAGGGCCAGAUUUAACCCAAAAGGGCAACCAUAAUCGUAGAGGACAAUUUUUCCUUAUUGACUAGACCAUGUGGGUAACAAUCGUUUUCUCUCUGGUAAAAACACACUCUUCACCCAUGAUGAGACACUUUGAAAUAAGACAGUGACCAAGAUAUGGUUCAUUCAUAGGAUGCUGUAACUAAGAUAUCUGCAUUUUGCAGUUAAGCAAAAAGGAGGAGCAGGAAUUUCUUCAAAUUCUGGCAUAAAAUCAUCAAAUAAAUGAAAAAGAUAGGUGGUGGCUAAGGAUGUCUUGGUUUUCUCAGAGGUUUAUCACUUCCAUUUGCUAAGGAGAGAUAUGAAUGGAGGGAAUUCUAUCUUGGUCACCAAACAUAAGAAAUGUUUGGUUAGAAAUACAUAGGUAAGGGGCGCCUGGGUGGCUCAGUCGGUUAAGUGUCUGACUCUUGAUUUCGGCUCAGGUCAUGAUCUCAGGGUCAUGACAUCAAGCCCCAGGUCAGGCUCCACACUCAGCGGGGAGUCUGCUUGAGAUUCUCUCUCUACCCCUCCCCCACCCACACCCAUGCACUCUCUCUCAGAUAAAUAAAUCUUCAAAAAAAAAAGAAAAAAAGAAACACACAGGUAAGCAGAGCAAGCCUUGAAGUCA
This is a long non-coding RNA of Mirounga angustirostris (Northern elephant seal), 13594 nucleotides long. RefSeq lists it as uncharacterized. NCBI's taxonomy places the organism in Eukaryota, Metazoa, Chordata, Mammalia, Carnivora, Phocidae. The record is from RefSeq and is a predicted model, not a curated record. The transcript has 3 exons.